Molecule: ribosomal RNA, 420 nt
Filed under: uncultured bacterium
Lineage: Bacteria
Description: bacterial SSU rRNA
Rfam family: Bacterial small subunit ribosomal RNA
Source: RNAcentral
GAAUCUUGCGCAAUGGAGGAAACUCUGACGCAGCCACGCCGCGUGCUGGAAGACGGCCCUAUGGGUUGUAAACAGCGUUUGUUAGGGAAGAACCUGGAGGUUUCGAUCUCCACUGACGGUACCUAUCGAAUAAGCACCGGCUAACUCCGUGCCAGCCGCCGCGGUAAUACGGAGGGUGCAAGCGUUGUCCGGAAUCAUUGGGUGUAAAGGGUGUGCAGGCGGAAGUCUAAGUCGGAGGUGAAAUCUUGCCGCUUAACGGUAAAAGUGCCUUCGAAACUGGAUUUCUUGAGUUCGGAAGAGGUUGGUGGAAUUCGUGGUGUAGCGGUGAAAUGCAUAGAUAUCACGAAGAACACCAGUGGCGAAGGCGGCCAACUGGUCCGAUACUGACGCUGAGACACGAGAGCGUGGGGAGCGAACAGG